GUGACCUCAAAUCAGGUAGGACUACCCGCUGAACUUAAGCAUAUCAAUAAGCGGAGGAAAAGAAACUAACAAGGAUUCCCCUAGUAACUGCGAGUGAAGCGGGAAAAGCUCAAAUUUAAAAUCUGUCAGUCUUUGGCUGUCCGAAUUGUAAUCUAGAGAAGUGUUAUCCGCGCUGGACCGUGUACAAGUCUCCUGGAAUGGAGCGUCAUAGAGGGUGAGAAUCCCGUCUUUGACACGGACUGCCRGGGCUUUGUGAUGCGCUCUCAAAGAGUCGAGUUGUUUGGGAAUGCAGCUCAAAAUGGGUGGUAAAUUCCAUCUAAAGCUAAAUAUUGGCGAGAGACCGAUAGCGAACAAGUACCGUGAGGGAAAGAUGAAAAGAACUUUGGAAAGAGAGUUAAACAGUACGUGAAAUUGCUGAAAGGGAAACGCUUGAAGUCAGUCGCGUUGUCCAGGGAUCAACCUUGCUUUUGCUUGGUGUACUUUCUGGUUGACGGGUCAGCAUCAAUUUUGACUGUUGGAAAAAGGUCAAGGGAAUGUGGCAUCUUUAGAUGUGUUAUAGCCCUUGGUUGCAUACRAUGGUUGGGAUUGAGGAACUCAGCACGCCGCAAGGCCGGGUAUUARCCACGUACGUGCUAGGAUGC
RNAcentral lists this ribosomal RNA (641 nucleotides) under Phlegmacium balteatocumatile. Its description in RNAcentral is "eukaryotic LSU rRNA". It matches the Rfam family "Eukaryotic large subunit ribosomal RNA", at positions 1 to 626 of the family's 3401-position model. Lineage: Eukaryota; Fungi; Basidiomycota; Agaricomycetes; Agaricales; Cortinariaceae. The record is from RNAcentral.